GCGGCGGCAGCAGCCGCGGUGGCGGCGUGGGGAACAUCUAGGCAGCCACCGCGCUUCUCGCGCUGGAGCGGGCGUCCAGCUUGGCUGCCCUCGGUCCUUCCCUGCCACGUUUCGGGUCGCCCCGCGCCCCCCACGCAGGCUAGCUUCUCUUCAAAGCGGGAAGGGCGCCUUGCAGGAUCCCGCCGCCCCUCCACCCGGAUCCCAGGUCUGGCGCUCCCCAGAGCGAGGCGCUCGCCGGGACUCCUGCCCCGCCAACCCUGACCGCCGGGGGGUGCCCCAGGGACGUAGCGCCGCGGAGAGGAAGAGGCAAAGGGGACCAUGCGGCGCCUGACUCGUCGCCUGGUUCUGCCAGUCUUCGGGGUGCUCUGGAUCACGGUGCUGCUGUUCUUCUGGGUAACCAAGAGGAAGUUGGAGGUGCCGACGGGACCUGAAGUGCAGACCCCCAAGCCUUCGGACGCUGACUGGGAUGACCUGUGGGACCAGUUUGAUGAGCGGCGGUAUCUGAAUGCCAAAAAGUGGCGCGUUGGUGACGACCCCUAUAAGCUGUAUGCUUUCAACCAGCGGGAGAGUGAGCGGAUCUCCAGCAAUCGGGCCAUCCCGGACACUCGCCAUCUGAGAUGCACGCUGCUGGUGUAUUGCACGGACCUUCCACCCACUAGCAUCAUCAUCACCUUCCACAAUGAGGCCCGCUCCACGCUGCUCAGGACCAUCCGCAGUGUAUUAAACCGCACCCCUAUGCAUCUGAUCCGGGAAAUCAUAUUAGUGGAUGACUUCAGCAAUGACCCUGAUGACUGUAAACAGCUCAUCAAGUUGCCCAAGGUGAAAUGCUUGCGCAAUAAUGAACGACAAGGUCUGGUCCGGUCCCGGAUUCGGGGCGCUGACAUUGCCCAGGGCACCACUCUGACUUUCCUCGACAGCCACUGUGAGGUGAACAGGGACUGGCUCCAGCCUCUGUUGCACAGGGUCAAAGAGGACUACACGCGGGUGGUGUGCCCUGUGAUCGAUAUCAUUAACCUGGACACCUUCACCUACAUCGAGUCUGCGUCGGAGCUCAGAGGGGGGUUUGACUGGAGCCUCCACUUCCAGUGGGAGCAGCUCUCCCCAGAGCAGAAGGCUCGGCGCCUGGACCCCACAGAGCCCAUCAGGACUCCUAUCAUAGCUGGAGGGCUCUUCGUGAUCGACAAAGCUUGGUUUGAUUACCUGGGGAAAUAUGAUAUGGACAUGGACAUCUGGGGUGGGGAGAACUUUGAAAUCUCCUUCCGAGUGUGGAUGUGCGGGGGCAGCCUAGAGAUCGUCCCCUGCAGCCGAGUGGGGCACGUCUUCCGGAAGAAGCACCCGUACGUUUUUCCUGAUGGAAAUGCCAACACGUAUAUAAAGAACACCAAGCGGACAGCUGAAGUGUGGAUGGAUGAAUACAAGCAAUACUAUUACGCUGCCCGGCCAUUUGCCCUGGAGCGGCCCUUCGGGAAGACAGGCUGUGCUUCCUGCUGUGGUCUCCAUCCCUCCACCUGUACUCCGGAUGCACCAUUCAUCGCUGCAUUCAUUCAUAAAUCAACAUUUAUCGAGUUCCCACUGCCUGGAUUCAUCUCCUCUUGCCUCCUGGCGCAGGGCCUCUCAAACAUUAAUGGGCAAGCAGAUUUCCUGGGGAUCUUGUUAAAACGAAAAUUCUGACUCUGGAGGUCUGUAUUUCUAAUAAGCUGCGGGUGAUGCAAUGCUCCUGGCCUGAGUGCCACAAUUCGAGAAGCAAGGUUCUACCAAGGAAGUUCCCAAACUAGUCUGCAUAUGGGAGUCCCCUGGGGAGUUUCAAACUGACUGCAGUCUGUGCCCCUCCUCCAGAAAGUUGGUUUACUUGCUCUGGGGUGUGGCCUGGGAUGUGGAAUUUUUCUGAAGACCCCACACCAGGUGAUUCUAACAUGGGGACAAGUUUGGGAACCACGCUCCUUAGGGGGCUUUGCCCUCUGGGUGCCUCUACUCUCUCCUUGAUCCCUGAUCUCUCCUCUGCUGUAUUAUUCCCAUCACCAUUUAAACUUAUUAAAUGUCUUACAUCUUAAAAAAAAAAAUAGGAGGGGAAGGAAAGAAAACAAACUACAAAAACGCUCCUUCAGUCCAACAUUGCUCAUCAUCCACGCUCUGUCUUUUCCAAUCCUCCAGUGCCCAGCUUCGUGAAGCAGUGGUCUGCUUUCCUCUCUCCACUCCCCUCCUCGCUCCUGGCCCGCAAGCCCUGAGACUGCUCCCACCUGGCUCCCUCGUGACUUCCUUGCACCCUGUACUGUCCUCUUACGCUGCCCCAUCAGCAUGAAUCUUCUCCCUCCCCCAGCCCCUCUGCUGUUCCCCCGGUCCCUAGGCUUCCAGAACUCUGCAGGCAUGGUGUUUCUUCUGCUGCUAGGCACUGCUUGUUUGGUCCCAUUUGCAGGCUGUUUCCUCUUCCUACUCCUCGUAUGGUGGUCUUGCCGGAAGGUCCGUUAGAAAGCCUCUUCUGACUACAUAUUCUCCCUGGCAUUAAGCACUAUAUCUCUGCUGCUGAUAUUUGCAUCUCUAUUUAUUAGCUAAACCUAUCCUUUGAGCUCCAAUUCCUUCUAUCCAAUUAUCAACUGGACACCUCCACCAGGAUGUCUCCCUGGCGCCUCCAACUCAACAAGUCCUAAACUGAACUCAUGACAUUUGCUCCUAAACUUACUCCUCAUCCGAUAUUUCCCAUCUCCAUGAAGAGUUUUCCUUGCACCUGUUGCCCAAGUCAGAAAUCUAGGUGUCAACCUUGAAUCCCUCUCCUUCUCUUUCCCAUCCAAAUGAUCACCAAGUCUUGGUAACACUGUACCAUCACACAGUGAGCACGCAGGCCCUUGCUAAACACCCAGUAUUCAGCAUUUUAGAAACCUGUCAUCCUUCCCAUCCCGAUGGAGCUUAGAGUCUGGUGAUGAGCUGUGGUUGGUGCUCUGUAAGAAGAAGUUCUACUGCAAUCUUGAGGUGGGGAGUGGAAGGAAGUGAGCUGGACAGGAAGCAAGACCAGCUCUAUGUGUCUGCCCAGGAAGAACAAGACAUGGAUGUAACUUAGUGUUGAGAGCAGAUUGGACCUGAGGAAGAAUCUGCGCUGCCAGAGUUUCAAGUGGUACCUGGAGAAUGUCUACCCUGAACUCAGCAUCCCCAAGGAGUCCUCCAUCCAGAAGGGCAAUAUCCGACAGAGAC
Piliocolobus tephrosceles (Ugandan red Colobus) is the source of this 3183-nucleotide RNA transcript. It is a transcript of the gene named polypeptide N-acetylgalactosaminyltransferase 14, with no coding region annotated. Lineage: Eukaryota; Metazoa; Chordata; Mammalia; Primates; Cercopithecidae. The record is from RefSeq and is a predicted model, not a curated record. The transcript has 14 exons.